This 492-nucleotide ribosomal RNA is filed under the name uncultured bacterium. RNAcentral describes it as "partial 16S ribosomal RNA". It matches the Rfam family "Bacterial small subunit ribosomal RNA", at positions 29 to 507 of the family's 1533-position model. The record is from RNAcentral.
AGUGAACGCUGGCGGCAGGCCUAACACAUGCAAGUCGAACGGCAGCACAGUAAGAGCUUGCUCUUACGGGUGGCGAGUGGCGUACGGGUGAGGAAUACAUCGGAAUCUACUUUUUCGUGGGGGAUAACGUAGGGAAACUUACGCUAAUACCGCAUACGACCUACGGGUGAAAGCAGGGGAUCUUCUGACCUUGCGCGAUUGAAUGAGCCGAUGUGGGAUUAGCUAGUUGGCGGGGUAAAGGCCCACCAAGGCGACGAUCCGUAGCUGGUCUGAGAGGAUGAUAAGCGACCAUGGAACUGAGACACGGUCCAGACUACUACGGGAGGCAGCAGUGGGGAAUAUUGGACAAUGGGCGCAAGCCUGAUCCAGCCAUACCGCGUGGGUGAAGAAGGCCUUCGGGUUGUAAAGACCUUUUGUUGGGAAAGAAAAGCAGCAGGUUAAUACCCCGCUGUUCUGACGGUACCCAAAGAAUAAGCACCGGCUAACUUCGUG